This 471-nucleotide ribosomal RNA is filed under the name Metarhizium anisopliae. Its description in RNAcentral is "eukaryotic LSU rRNA". The stretch from base 138 to 291 matches the Rfam family "5.8S ribosomal RNA". The record is from RNAcentral. Lineage: Eukaryota; Fungi; Ascomycota; Sordariomycetes; Hypocreales; Clavicipitaceae.
CCGAGUUAUCCAACUCCCAACCCCUGUGAAUUAUACCUUUAAUUGUUGCUUCGGCGGGACUUCGCGCCCGCCGGGGACCCAAACCUUCUGAAUUUUUUAAUAAGUAUCUUCUGAGUGGUUUAAAAAAAAUGAAUCAAAACUUUCAACAACGGAUCUCUUGGUUCUGGCAUCGAUGAAGAACGCAGCGAAAUGCGAUAAGUAAUGUGAAUUGCAGAAUUCAGUGAAUCAUCGAAUCUUUGAACGCACAUUGCGCCCGUCAGUAUUCUGGCGGGCAUGCCUGUUCGAGCGUCAUUACGCCCCUCAAGUCCCCUGUGGACUUGGUGUUGGGGAUCGGCGAGGCUGGUUUUCCAGCACAGCCGUCCCUUAAAUUAAUUGGCGGUCUCGCCGUGGCCCUCCUCUGCGCAGUAGUAAAGCACUCGCAACAGGAGCCCGGCGCGGUCCACUGCCGUAAAACCCCCCAACUUUUUAUAG